RNAcentral lists this ribosomal RNA (466 nucleotides) under uncultured bacterium. RNAcentral's name for it is "partial 16S ribosomal RNA". It matches the Rfam family "Bacterial small subunit ribosomal RNA", at positions 28 to 507 of the family's 1533-position model. The record is from RNAcentral.
GAUGAACGCUGGCGGCGUGCUUAACACAUGCAAGUCGAACGAUGAAGCCCAGCUUGCUGGGUGGAUUAGUGGCGAACGGGUGAGUAAAACGUGAGUAACCUGCCCUUAACUCUGGGAUAAGCCUGGGAAACUGGGUCUAAUACCGGAUAGGAGCGUCCACCGCAUGGUGGGUGUUGGAAAGAUUUAUCGGUUUUGGAUGGUCUCGCGGCCUAUCAGCUUGUUGGUGAGGUAAUGGCUCACCAAGGCGACGACGGGUAGCCGGCCUGAGAGGGUGACCGGCCACACUGGGACUGAGACACGGCCCAGACUCCUACGGGAGGCAGCAGUGGGGAAUAUUGCACAAUGGGCGCAAGCCUGAUGCAGCGACGCCGCGUGAGGGAUGACGGCCUUCGGGUUGUAAACCUCUUUCAGUAGGGAAGAAGCGAAAGUGACGGUACCUGCAGAAGAAGCACCGGCUAACUACGUG